Molecule: ribosomal RNA, 200 nt
Filed under: uncultured bacterium
Lineage: Bacteria
Description: partial 16S ribosomal RNA
Rfam family: Bacterial small subunit ribosomal RNA
Source: RNAcentral
GACGAACGCUGGCAGCGUGCUUAACACAUGCAAGUCGAACGGAUCCCAAGUGUCAGCAAUGACAUGGAAGGGUGAGUGGCGAACGGGUGAGUGACACGUGAGGAACCUGCCCCGGACUCAGGGAUAACGGCUGGAAACGGCUGCUAAUACCUGAUGCCGUCGUAUCAUCGCAUGGUGGUGUGACGAAAGAAUCUCGGUUC